UGGCGGGUAUCCAUGGUGGUGCUUCUCCUGCAUAUGGACAGAGAAGGGGGAAAGAUGGAUUAGAGGAGAGAGGAGGAAACGGAGAAAGCGUUGGGGGCAGUGUUGCUCAUAUGCUUGGGUCCAGCGAGGCAGCUUGCCAGAGUGGUGCGACGGCGGGGUCAAACAGGCAAGGUGCGAGGGCGAUAGAGGAGCUCGCGCUGCUCUCGUGAGGGUUGCAGCUAGUGCGGAAGUAUGCUGGCUUCAGAUGCGGGCGCACGUCAAUGGCGACCUUUGGGUCCGUGCAGGCUCCAAACGGGCUCGGCGGUCCCUAGCGCUAGCGAUGGGAGGACACCAGCGGUUGGCGGUGUCUAGGCAGUGGUUGCGAGGAAAACGAGGCAAAGGCUAGGG
This 387-nucleotide long non-coding RNA is filed under the name Hordeum vulgare. Its description in RNAcentral is "long non-coding RNA (HVUL_LNC019230)". The record is from RNAcentral. Lineage: Eukaryota; Viridiplantae; Streptophyta; Magnoliopsida; Poales; Poaceae.